GCUGUGACACUCAGGAGGCUGUGGCACUUAGGAGGCUCACACUCUGCUAAGGUCACACAGCUGGGAAGUGACAGAACCAGAACUAGGAUUCACUGCCUUACCUUCAGGCAAACUGGAGCCCCCAAAUUUCCACCGAUGGCAGCAUGAUGGGACCCAAACCCAAGAUUCCAAGUUGUGGGGGUGAAACCACGCCCUCGAAGAUACUCUAGUCUCAUUCCAGUGUGCACAGGGCCAGCUCUGGAUAACUUUCUGGUUUUAAAAAUGUUACAUCAUCAUUUUGGGCCUUCAUCCAGCUCAGAACCUCAAAGAAGUGAGAAGGUGCUUACAAAGAACUCACAACGAGUGAGUGUAGUGCGUAUUAGAUGGACAGCCCAAGAAAGAGCUGCUUCCUCCUCUUGCCCCCUGCCCCUCUGUCCUGGGGUGGUGAGAACCAUGCAGGAGCUCUAGCUCCCUGCUGUGGAGGUGAGGACAAUGAAUGGAACCCGAGAGACCUGAGUUUCGUUUCCAGUUCUGCUGCCAUUGCAAGAAUUAAGCAUCUGUGGAGGUGACAAGGACCACUGAAGAAAAAAAAUAAGGGCAAGGAGGAGCAGGAAUCUGAUCCCUCCCCGUCGUCUGUGCAGAGGCGCCCGGCUCGCGUACGUCCUGUGUUAGGCUUCCGAAUAACAUUUCAUUGGAAAAAUGGACCCCACGGCUACACAAGACAAAACAAACAGCCAAACAAACAAAUUUGAAACAAAAACUCUGAACCGCGUAAUCCCCAACAUUUAAUAAUUUUUAACACCAAGAAUGUAUGAGCUGGAAAAUGA
Non-coding RNA from Microcebus murinus (gray mouse lemur), 806 nucleotides. The record is from RefSeq and is a predicted model, not a curated record. NCBI's taxonomy places the organism in Eukaryota, Metazoa, Chordata, Mammalia, Primates, Cheirogaleidae.